CCUACGGGAGGCAGCAGUAGGGAAUCUUCCACAAUGGGCGAAAGCCUGAUGCAGCAACGCCGCGUGGGUGAAGAAGGUUUUCGGAUCGUAAAACCCUUUUGUUAGAGAAGAUAGUGCGUGAGAGUAACGGUUCACGUUUCGACGGUAUCUAGCCAGCAGCCCACGUCUAACUACGUGCCAGCAGCUUCGUCAGUACGAAGGUGGGAAGCGUUAUCCGGAUUGAGUGGGCGUAAAGGGAACGCAGGCGGUCUUGUAAGUCUGAUGUGAAAGCCUUGGGCUUAACCGGAGUAGUGCAUUGGAAACUGGGAGACUUGAGUGCAGGAGAGGAGGGUGGAACUCCAGGUGUAGGGGUGAAAUGCGUAGAGA
RNAcentral lists this ribosomal RNA (366 nucleotides) under uncultured bacterium. Its description in RNAcentral is "partial 16S ribosomal RNA". It matches the Rfam family "Bacterial small subunit ribosomal RNA", at positions 338 to 696 of the family's 1533-position model. The record is from RNAcentral.